This 497-nucleotide ribosomal RNA is filed under the name uncultured bacterium. RNAcentral's name for it is "partial 16S ribosomal RNA". It matches the Rfam family "Bacterial small subunit ribosomal RNA", at positions 28 to 507 of the family's 1533-position model. The record is from RNAcentral.
GACGAACGCUGGCGGCGUGCCUAAUACAUGCAAGUUGAGCGCUGAAGGUUGGUACUUGUACCGACUGGAUGAGCAGCGAACGGGUGAGUAACGCGUGGGGAAUCUGCCUUUGAGCGGGGGACAACAUUUGGAAACGAAUGCUAAUACCGCAUAAAAACUUUAAACACAAGUUUUAAGUUUGAAAGAUGCAAUUGCAUCACUCAAAGAUGAUCCCGCGUUGUAUUAGCUAGUUGGUGAGGUAAAGGCUCACCAAGGCGAUGAUACAUAGCCGACCUGAGAGGGUGAUCGGACACAUUGGGACUGAGACACGGCCCAAACUCCUACGGGAGGCAGCAGUAGGGAAUCUUCGGCGAUGGACGAAAGUCUGACCGAGCAACGCCGCGUGAGUGAAGAAGGUUUUCGGAUCGUAAAACUCUGUUGGUAGAGAAGAACGUUGGUGAGAGUGGAAAGCUCAUCAAGUGACGGUAACUACCCAGAAAGGGACGGCUAACUACGUG